Long non-coding RNA from Micropterus salmoides (largemouth bass), 3105 nucleotides. RefSeq lists it as uncharacterized. Lineage: Eukaryota; Metazoa; Chordata; Actinopteri; Centrarchiformes; Centrarchidae. The record is from RefSeq and is a predicted model, not a curated record. The transcript has 2 exons.
ACAGUAUGUUACAGUGCUCUGUCUCACUGCUGUCUCCUGUCUUGUCUCGGUUUACUCGGCUGGCUCGGACUCGGAUCGUUGCCUGCCUGCCUGCGUGCCUGCCUGCCUGCCUGCCUGUGUGUGUUCAUGUCCUGUUCCUGCACAACCACCACCACCUCCACCACCACCUCUCUGUCGCCCCCUCAUCUGAAGGCUAUGAGAAAUCCCGGAGCUUAAACAACAUAGCGGGCAUGGCUGGUAACGCCCUGAGGUUGUCUCCUGUGACCUCGCCCUACGGAUCGCCCUGCCCGCUGCGGCGCUCUCGCUCCCCUAUACCCUCCAUCCUGUGAGACAUCCAGCCCUGGGCCACUUUGGCCUAAACCACCCCACAUCCUACUCCCAAAGCAUCCACCUACCCUUGCUAUUAUAUCUGAACUCUGUUCUAGAUUGUGACUAGUGGAUAAGUACUUAACUUUGUAGCUAAGACUAAUGUUAGUGGCUUGGGCAACCUGAGCAACUCCUCACUUUCCCCUUUUUCUUUGAAGGUACAUGUGCUUAGCUAACAUCCUUAAGUAACUGGUCAGUUCUCCUUUGUCACUUGGAGUUCCCUUUGGUUCAAUAUUGUUGUACCUUGAGACUUGCAAUAAAAGAACUCUUGACUGGUGGCUUCAGAAGUAGCAGCCAUAGCGUUUAAUAAAGGACAAAUUAAUAAUCAGGGAUAUUAGAAGUUGCUAUAUUUAGAUACCUUGAAAAAGACGUGCUUCCAAAAAAAGAAAGAGAGAUGUCCCAUCAUUUUAACCUCAUACGACUGUGACUUUGUCUUUGAUUUGCUACUUUAUUUUUGGGAUGGAGACGGGAGGGAUGGGCAUCGGAAUGGAGGAUUUGUCUUUCAGGACUGUGUUUCACCUGCUGUUGGGCCUGCUAAUGUAUUUGCAUGGAUCAUCUUGUAACCAUCGUCUGCAAGCAAUGUGGCAAGGGGAUAUGGGCCGGGGCAGACAGUGAGGAGAGCUUAAGGAUAUAUAUUCUAUAUAUAUAUAUAUAUAUAUAUAUAUAUAUAAGAAGGAGUAUUUUUUUAUUUUACGUUAUUAUGUUGGGGUUUGAGGGGGCUACACUUGACUUGUGUUGUGUCUCAUUGCCAUUGGCUUCACCAACAAUCCACCUAAGAGACUACAGAAAGAAUGCCAAAUGGGUGUUCAUUUCUCUCGUGGGCAUGUGGGUUUUUGCUUGUCUGCUGCUAUUUCCGAUUAACUUACUCCCCACCUCCUUUAUGCUUUCUUUUCUUUGAUGGAGUGCCACCAUAUCAGUUGUGUCUCUGGUUGUUUACUCACAGAUCACUGCAAAGAGGUUGUCUUUACUGGUUUCACACAAGCAGAGAGCAGUGUUCUAUCUUAAUGGCCUGCGGAAAGGCACCACCAUGGCGGAAAGACAAUUCAUUUCCUAUUUGAAUGGCGAUGGGAUAAGUCAUCAUUGUGAGGACCUAUUCCAGUGGGAGGACCCCAUUUGGAGCCACAAGGCCACUCCUACAGGACAAUAAGGACGAGGAGGCAUGUAAAACCACUGACUGACAGCGGCCUAGCCAACGGCUCAGUGAGCAAGAAAGGAACUUAAUGACCUGAAGGGAAUCCUAGGAGGACUUUCAUAAGAAUUUAACUUUUCCCGAUGUUUCUUUUUGUUUUUCUGUUUUGGUACUGUGGAGGGGGGAAAGGAUAGCAAAGCAAACUGGAUACAUCCUUAAAAGAGACUAUCUACUGUAUAGAUAUUGCUCCUGUAAAUAAGAAAACAACACAGCACAUCUGGGCUAAGCAGCUCUGUCCACACAUCUGUCUUAUGAUGGUGAGUCAGGUAACAAGGUGGUUGGUUGGUAAGUUGCACCGUGACACUCUAAGUCAAUCACUUUUCUUGCUGUGGUAUCCCUCCUCGCAAUAAGUGUACUAAGAUGUAUCGGUUGAGGCACUUUGUGUUCUAAAAAUGGAGUGUAUUCAUAUAUGAAAUUCUACAUACAGUAUAUACAGUACAGAGAGACAAACGUGCUAAGUUGAAUAAAUGUGACAUUAUGGUCAUCUCUGCUUUGUUUCCCUUGGUAAUUUUCGGUAGGUAAAUUGCUCUGCUGUGUGUUAAUGUGUGUGUGUGUGUAUCCUAAAACUCCAGGGUAAGAUCUGCAGUUUGAAAGGCCAGGUUAGCGGAUACCAACGAGUGGACUGUCACUCUUCCAGUUAGUUUUAGCACAAACAUGAAUGAGACAGAGUUCCCCUGCAGUCGCCAUUGUAGAAGUCCCCCCCCCCCGGGGUCGUGCAUUGAACAUGCAACUGCCCUGCGUUUGUGCUGCAGACGUUUGUCUCUUCACAAACCAAAUUAUUCUUACCAGACUAUUCCUCAUAACUCCUGGUGGCUACAAAAAACUGCAUAACUUGAUUCUUCCAAACUUUUCCCCUUGUGGGGGUGGAGCAAAAGUGUAGCAGAAGUUUACCAAGUUAUAAAGCUGGACUUCUAGAAUGGCUACAUCUGCACAGUAGCAAUCCUAUGUACCCAAACAAUCAGAUCGGAUUUGCAAUAAGCACCCGAAAACAAAAAGCGCCGAUCCACACUGUGAUUUCAGCAGCCCAUUAAAACGAGACGGCAGAAGGAAAACAGAGUGAAAAUGCAGCUCUACAAGCUGAUAGAAAGGACUGGCAGGUGGCCCAACGUAUGUGUCAUGUUGGUUGCGACCUGCACAGUUGUUGGCUAGCUGUCAAGUGUCACCCUGUACCCACAAUCCUCCUCGUGUAGUACACAACGCUGCUUUACUCUUUGAAUUGACAAAGGGGUACCGUUCUAUGUGUAUUUUUAGGAUGACGUAACUUGAAAAAAGGUGUUUAUUUUUUUGAAUCCAGAACAUGUAUUUUUGUGUCUUACUGUUGGGUACACUGCUCUAACCUGUAAAAGUCAUGGUAGUCUGAUGUUGUGCUUCUCCAUCGUGUCCUCAAACCGUCAGGCUUUUGAUCCGAGUUCAUGUUUUGUAUGUUUUACUGUGAGGAAAAUUCUAGUUUGAAGUCUGUAUUUGUGGAGCCUUUUGUUGGCAUUCUAAAGUGCAUGCUGAAAAAAAACAUUAUGUCAAAUUGUUAAAAAAUAAAAAGAUGACAUACUGUG